GACGAACGCUGGCGGCGUGCUUAACACAUGCAAGUCGAACGGAAAGGCCCUGCUUUUGUGGGGUGCUCGAGUGGCGAACGGGUGAGUAACACGUGAGUAACCUGCCCUUGACUUUGGGAUAACUUCAGGAAACUGGGGCUAAUACCGGAUAGGAGCUCCUGCUGCAUGGUGGGGGUUGGAAAGUUUCGGCGGUUGGGGAUGGACUCGCGGCUUAUCAGCUUGUUGGUGGGGUAGUGGCUUACCAAGGCUUUGACGGGUAGCCGGCCUGAGAGGGUGACCGGCCAAAUUGGGACUGAGAUACGGCCAAGACUCAUACGGGAGGAAGCAGGGGGGAAUAGUGCACAAUGGGCGGAAGCCUGAUGAAGAAACGCCGCGUGCGGGAUGACGGCCUUCGGGUUGUAAACCGCUUUCGCCUGUGACGAAGCGUGAGUGACGGUAAUGGGUAAAGAAGCACCGGCUAACUACGUG
Molecule: ribosomal RNA, 468 nt
Filed under: uncultured bacterium
Lineage: Bacteria
Description: partial 16S ribosomal RNA
Rfam family: Bacterial small subunit ribosomal RNA
Source: RNAcentral